UACGGGGGGGGUAAGCGUUGUUCGGAAUUACUAGGCUUAAAGGGCGCGUAGGCGGCUUGCCAAGUCAGGGGUGAAAUCCUGCAGCUUAACUGUAGAAGGGCCUUUGAUACUGGCGAGCUCGAGGGAGGUAGGGGUAUGUGGAACUUCCGGUGGAGCGGUGAAAUGCGUUGAUAUCGGAAGGAACGCCGGUGGCGAAAGCGACGUACUGGACCUCUUCUGACGCUGAGGCGCGAAAGCUAGGGGAGCAAACGGG
RNAcentral lists this ribosomal RNA (253 nucleotides) under uncultured bacterium. Its description in RNAcentral is "partial 16S ribosomal RNA". It matches the Rfam family "Bacterial small subunit ribosomal RNA", at positions 524 to 776 of the family's 1533-position model. The record is from RNAcentral.